Molecule: long non-coding RNA, 2801 nt
Organism: Boleophthalmus pectinirostris (great blue-spotted mudskipper)
Lineage: Eukaryota; Metazoa; Chordata; Actinopteri; Gobiiformes; Gobiidae
Exons: 3
Source: RefSeq, a predicted model, not a curated record
CAGUCCUGGUUUAGUCCUGUUUUACACAUGGUUUAGAUCUGUUUUAGUCCUGGUUUAGGCCUUUUUCAGUCCUGGAUUAGACCCUGUUCAGGUCUGGUUUAGUCCUGCUUGCAACAAAACAAUCUGAAGAGCCGCUUGGGAGCCGAAAGAGCCAGCUGCUUUUAGUGAGCCAAGCCAAAAGAGCCGGUUCUCUAAAAAGAACUGGAACUGGAACUACCAGCUAGAAUGUGAUGCAAAAAUGCCAUUAGGGUGACCUACUGUGUGUAAAUAUGACGUAAAGAGGCAGAGUAACGAUAAAUGUUGCCUAAAUAAAUCCAGUGUAAAAUCCACUAGAGCUAAACCUAAGUUUUUUUUUAAAUUCAAGAUUUAUAGUGAAUUUUUAUAUCACUAAAUAUAUCUGCGAUUAUAUCGGCCAUCUGCAGCACCAACUCCAAUUUUAUCGGUAUCAUAUCGGAUGCAACAAAAUCCAUAUCGGUCGGGCCCUAAUUACAAUAUUAGAAAAAAUGACAAUGGUGUUUUUAAAAGGAUUAAUUUUUUUCGCAACAGCAAAACCAUUCUGUAACUUUUAUUCAGCUCUGAAUGAUUUUGAACAGUUGCUACUCAUUAUGCUAUUACACAUUCUGUUAGCACAAAUCUCACAGUACCAGUCUGUACUGAGCUGUUACAAUAUAGCCCCACUGGUCGAAGCUGCUGAGGUGAUGCAUUGCCUACUGGAGUAUGAAGUUGCAUGCACUCUGUAUCGAUUCUUAGUCACAUGCUUUUAUUAUCUUUCCCUUUUUGAUUUCAACCAGUUAAGAGCUAGCAGCAGCAUCUACCUGUGCAAAUGAUCUGUGAUAGGAACUUUUUAUUUUUAUUAUUUACUUUUUUACCUCUCUGUUUGCUGCUGAUUUUGCAUUUUGGUAAGUGGAAAAAACUGCAUGUCAGACUGAAGUGGUUGAGCUGAAAUGACGGCGUGGAACAGCUAUGGGAGUCUGAACUGCUUUCAUAGUCACCACUUCUUCUUCUUCUUGGACAACUGUGAUAAAAGCUCUGGUCACUCUUUCACUGGCCCUGCAUUGUGAUUCCUGUCCCCUCUGCUGCUAACACAGCCACAAGCCAAUGAAAGAGUCUCUCACUCAGACAAGUGUACUGGUUCACACACUCCUACAUAGGUUAAUAUGGCAGGCUUCAGAUUUCUGUCCUGCAUGCCUUCUGCAUCGUGUACAUUAUGCAUGAGAAGUGAUAGGGCUCAAAAUAUUUUCAAGGACGAUGUAUUUCCAAUAUUUCCAUUCAGUGUUCAGUCCUGGAAAUCCAGCAAAAUCUGUAUGUGACUACGUUAUUGUGGACAUAUGCUCUCCACACCUCUGCACAUGAAAGAGGUCACUGCCUAAAUCUGACCACUGCAGUCUUCUUAGCUCUCAUUUGCAUUUGCUUGUAUUGCAUGAGCCUUUUCAGUGCUGAAGGGAAAUCACAUUUAGGAUGCUGUAUUUUUAUUUGUAUACAAAAUUCUUUUCAUAUAGGGCAUUGACAUUAGGAGCAGGUGGGCAUGCUUCAGUUCAUGUGAUCUGACCAUAACUUCUACUUGUGGUGCAGAGGAUGUCAUGUAUAACAUUGCUGCUGUCAUCUCUGGGGGAGGGCUGGGGCAUGUGUCUGAGUUCUUUUUUUACUACACAGUACCAUGCACGUUUUGUAACUAAUUAACAGUUUUUGUUUCUUCUUUUCACUGUUUAGAUGAUGACUCAGGUGCUGCUCCUCUGAAGAGCAACUCAAAUGCCAACCACAAGGACAAAGGCGUGAGGCAAAGAAACUCCAACUAAAAUCCUUUAGAGAUGAUGGCCGAUGUCUGAAUGACUCUUAAAAAUCAUCUGUUGUGUGGCACAAUAAUGUGCACUUUGCAAAUCUAAAUAACUUUCUGUGCUUGGGUGUUGAUGUUUUAAGAGAUUUAAACAUUUUUAUUGACUUUGUUUUUUUCUCAUUAAUUUCCUCUACAUUGUGCAGCCAGAGGCCAUAGUGACCUUUUUUUUUUUUUUUUUUUUGAUGCCGAAGGGGCAAACAUUGCAUGAGUUUAACUGCUGUUGCAAAUGUGUGUUUGUUGUAAAGCCAAUAAAGUCCACAAGGGGGUGCUUCAAUGUCCUGUCUGCCCUGAUGCCCCAGCAGCACUGCCCGCUGUCACAUGAAUAAGAAUGACUGAAUCCAUCACUGCCAUCUUUGUCACAGGCUGUGAGAGUGCAUUUGAACCGCUUUAUUUGUCCUUAGAACACUUCCACCAUCCUCAGAUUUUUAUACUUGGCCUUAACACUCAACAUUUCUUUUAAGUUUUUAUUUUGUUACUGCUGUUUAAGCUUAAUAUUGAAUGCAGAAAUGGCUGAAAAUUCAUUCUGUAUUUUGCCAUAAUUUAAGGUAUGCAAGAUUUUUGUCUCGUAAUCUUUUUAAGUUUUAAAUCACUUUUGUCACACUUUUUUUUUCUUCUGAAGGACCAAGAGCAAAGGAGAACAAUCUUUUGCCUUUGAACGCUACUAUACUACGCACUGAUGUUUAGACUACAGCUGUAAACCUAUGUCACCUAAUGGACUGAGACAGAUACAUUUGUGUGUGAUUGUUAAUUCUAAUUGUUGUUCCUUCACUGUGUAGAUGACUCAGAAAGCCAUAAGUUAAUUUUAACCUGAGUAGUUUUGUGAUUGAAUGUUACCAUAUUAUAGAGUUAUACUAUUAAAUUCAUGGAACAGAGAACAGUUGUGUACACUAUUGUCUAUUUCAAAUGGGACAUGGGAAAUGACCAUCUGUACAACAUGCACAAGAUUUAAUAAAGAUUAUGGAGUUAA